UGGCUUCAACGGGAUUAGAAGGAGGAGGAUUUUGGCAUGGCCCGUACAACUGCCAAGAUGGCGCCCCGCCGGAGUUGCUGUUCGUUCUAUCUCCCCAGGUGAGCUCUUCCUCUCGUUCCUUCCUCCCUAUUUUAGUUCCUCUUCCCAUAGAGAAGAAGGAGGCUCUGCCAAGCCAUGGACUUGCUGCCACCAACCCUCACCGGCCUCCUCCCUCCUCUCCCUACACCCUCGUGAGCUUUCCCUUUUUAUUUUGAUUUACUCUCGUGGUCACCUCCCUUUCAGUUUGUUGCCUGCCAACUGUUUGUUGUUAUGCCUGUGCAAGCUGCCUUUUCAUAUAUUUGUUGGUAUACCCAUGUAGGCCUGUAUACUCCUGGUGUUGAGGGUUUGUGUAGCUUCUAGGCCAAGAAGCUGAGAGGGGUUUUCUUCUUUGAGUCGCCGGAACCAAGCGACAACGUGCUGCAGACUUUCUGGUCUUCUAUACAAGAGAAAUCAAAUGAAUAUGUUUAGUUUCUAAACUUUUCUUCAUUUUUAAAUAGAACUGCUUACUUAGACGCUGAUAUAUUUCUUUACAUGAAUCGGCACUAUGCUCUUAUGCUUUUAGUUAUACAUAUAUUUUUUUUGUUGGUCAGGUUUUCAAGUUUCAACCAUUCUUACUUUGAAAUGAUUCUUUAGUUAGUUAUAAAUAUAGAAAAUUUGAUGCCUGGGAUACAUAUUUUUAAUGGUAUAUUGUGUCAGCUAAGGGAUCUCUUAUUUUUCUAGGUGUGCUACAUAGGUAUAUGUAGAUUUACUUUGUUCCAGUACCUGCUUUUGAUCACAGGAAACUAAAAAAAUAAAAGAUACUUCACAUGCAACAUCUUAUACUAUUUGAAGUUAUUUUGCAGACAUCGUUAGAUAUUUUUCUUCACUGUUCUGUUUAGCUAAAUAACCAAUUAAAUGAUUUAAUAUACAUUUUUGUUUUUUGAACUAGGUAAAGAAAGUACGUUGCACUUUCUUAUAGUCUAUUGGCUGGCACUAGAAUUUUGUUUGUCUUCUAGAGCGACAUAGAACAUGAUAUGCUUCUUUAACUGUACAUGUUGUCUAUAUUUUGCCUCUUUAACACCCUCUUUUUCUAUCGAUACUCAGAUAAUUCAGCUUCAAAAGCACCAAAAAUUUAUGUCAAUACAUGGGUGAGUGGAGAUACUGCAUCACUUCUUAUGUCUUGCCUGCGUUUGAAGUGUUGGAGUUCUUAAAUUCUUGAUGAAGAGGAUUUUGGAGGUACGUGCCGCCGGUGCUCGUGGCGCUUAAUUAACUGCAGCAGCAGAAUUUGGAUUAUUAAUGCAGAUGAACCCUCUGUUUCAGAAAGCUAUGGUUGGCUUCGGACUGGAAGGACAUGUCUAGCAGCGGCUAUUUAUCGGAGAGGCUAUCGUUCCUUUAUGGUCAUAAGACAGGCUUCUCUUUGGAAGUGGAAAUGGAAUCAGCACAUGAAGGCUUGCCCCUGACCUUGCAAGUGCCCCACGAAGCCGAGAGAAAAGUAAAAAGAGCCAAGGAGAGAUGCCACCGAUUCGCACGUGUUGGAGCAUUUCACGGAUGGCUUAACUAUGAAGUCCACAUUGUAGUGAUUUUCCCUUCAUGUAUUAUUGAAAAUUGACCUUAGUGAAUUGUAGCUUUGCAGAUGUGCUUACCAAAUCUGCAACAGGUAAUGAAUUUUACUUGGCAUAUAGAUUCUGCUUAUAGUAAGUAUUCUCCUCAUGAUUUUCUUAGUAUUUGACAUGAAGUUCAUGUUGAAAGAACUAAAGUGGUGAUUUUAAAUCCCUUCAAAAAGUGGUGAUUUUAAAGCAUAAGCUUUAAUUUUCAUCUGAUGCACUCAAACUGUGUUUGGUUCUCUACAUAGUUGUCAAAACAUAUGAGGGGGGUGGUUAUAUAUAUAAGAAAUUGAUAGCAUAGUUUAUAGUUUUUUGCUUCUAUUGUUUGUUCUUUUUAUUUGAGGUAAUCUCUCCCUUUCCUCUCCUUGUUUUGUCAUGCUAGGUCUCCUAGGUCAGAGCCACGGUGCAGGAGCUCAGGUUUCGGUGGAGAGAUGAUACAGUGAUGAGAAGAUGUGCCCAGCAGCUAGCUAUAGUGGAGAAUUGAUUCGUCCGAUCCCCCCACCCCUGGCCUUCUACAGAGAAGCUGAGACUCGUGUACGAAGUCGGUGCCCUACCGACAAAGGUGGUACAACUCUCACCAGAUGACCUCAGAGACGAGAGCACAAUAACAUACUGGAAGAUAUGACGCUAGAAGCACACAAAUAAGCUAACCUGGUGCAAGCUGUGAUUCCAUGACCCAUCCCCGCUGUGACCCUGUUCCUGGAAUUGGAAAGGUGUUUUUGAAGUAUGCAGAUGCCAAGAGCUCGGCCAGGGCAACAAUGGAUGCACAUGAGGAGAUUCGACAGGAAAAAGACGGUUGCCGUGUUCGCCGAUCGAGACUACGGCGAAUAGAUUAAAACAAAUGUUGCAUAUUUGUUCUUUUUAGACUUUGGAUACAUUUAGCAGUAAGUUUUCAUGAAAUGUACUUAAAUCUCAUGUUAUUCUAAUAGUGGUGCAUACAGGAUUGCAUUCCGAAGUUAUCAGAAUACAAAUCUUUAAAACCGAACCGCAGUGAGUUUAUGUAGAUUUUUUUUUUGCCUUGUGCGGUGGCGCGAGAUUAGGGAUCAGGAGGCAGUAGGCGUGUAGGACUGCAGGAAAGCGACUGACUCAUACAAGACAUAUGAUAUGUUGUGUUC
Non-coding RNA from Lolium perenne, 2737 nucleotides. The record is from RefSeq and is a predicted model, not a curated record. Lineage: Eukaryota; Viridiplantae; Streptophyta; Magnoliopsida; Poales; Poaceae.